This 1295-nucleotide ribosomal RNA is filed under the name Leptotyphlops sylvicolus. RNAcentral describes it as "partial 16S ribosomal RNA". It matches the Rfam family "Bacterial large subunit ribosomal RNA", at positions 393 to 2594 of the family's 2925-position model. Lineage: Eukaryota; Metazoa; Chordata; Lepidosauria; Squamata; Leptotyphlopidae. The record is from RNAcentral.
GCCCAAACUCUAGUCCUUCCUUUUUUUCACGACACAGACAAAACAAAACAUUUGACGCGGCCAGUAAAGGAGAUUAAAAACAAAACAGGCACUAUAGAAGCAGUACCGAAAGGGAAAGAAGUAAAGCAACAAAAAGCAAAGAUAAAACCUUGUACCUUUCGCAUCAUGGUUUAGCAAGACACGCUGAGCACGGCGCCCCAGCUCAAAUCCCCGAAACCAAGUGAGCUACCCCCCAACAGGAAACAAACCCGUCUCUGUAGCAAAAGAGUGGGAAGAUUGAGGGGUAGCGGUGAAAAGCCUAUCGAACUUGGCAAUAGCUGGUUGCCCGAAAUUGAACCUAAGUUCUACCUUGAACCCACCCCCACCACACCAGGAAAAUCAAGGAGACUCAUUAGAGGUACAGCCCUAAUGAAUGGGGACACAACCCCUGCCUGAGAGUAAGCCAUAUGGACCCCCCCCCCCGUGGGCUUUAAAGCAGCCACCAAUAAAAACAGCGUCAAAGCGCCCGACCACUAAUUCAGGACUCACCCACCACCUCCAGCAAGAAUCAGGGCAACUCUACCCCCGUAGAAAAACCAAUGCUAAAACUACUAAUAAGGAACCCCCUCUAAGCACACCCAUCAGUUGAAACGGACCAACCCACCAACAGUUAUCAACCACCCAAAGCGAACCCAACCCACAAACCUUUUACUAACUGUGAUACCGACACCGGAGUGCCCAAAAGAAAGAUAAAAAGCCACAGAAGGAACUCGGCAAACACUGACCCCAACUGUUUACCAAAAACAUAACCUUUAGCCCACCAAGUAUUAAAGGCAUCGCCUGCCCGGUGAGAAAUUUUCUUUAACGGCCGCGGUACCCUAACCGUGCGAAGGUAGCAUAAUCACUUGCCUAUUAAUCAUAGGCUGGCAUGAAAGGCUGCAUGAGGGUCAAACUGUCUCCUGUGGCCCAUCAAUGAAACUGAUCUUGCAGUCAAAAAGCUGUAAUACCCACAUAAGACGAGAAGACCCUGUGAAACUUCCAACGACCUUUUUCCCCAGGAAAAAGUACUUUUAGUUGGGGCAACUUUGGAAAAAACCCAACUUCCAAACACCUGAACACACCCACUGCCACUAGGCCAACAAGCCUUAUUUAUCGACCCAGUUCACCUGAUUAAUGAACCAAGCUACUCCAGGGAUAACAGCGCCAUCUUCUUCAAGAGCCCAUAUCAAAAAGAAGGUUUACGACCUCGAUGUUGGAUCAGGGCACCCCAGUGGCGCAGCCACUACCAAAGGUUCGUUUGUUCAACGAUUAAUAGC